Long non-coding RNA from Cervus elaphus (red deer), 5060 nucleotides. RefSeq lists it as uncharacterized. The transcript has 2 exons. The record is from RefSeq and is a predicted model, not a curated record. NCBI's taxonomy places the organism in Eukaryota, Metazoa, Chordata, Mammalia, Artiodactyla, Cervidae.
UCGGGGAGUGGUGAUGGACGAGGAGGCCUGGUGUGCUGCAGUCCAUGGGGUCACAGAAAGUAGGACUCGACUGAGCGACUGCACUGAACUGAAAGCAAAGCUAGUGCAACACUGCUAUGUGCUAUGCUAUUCUAUGUGGUGCUGUGGGAAAGAGCAUGGAUUUUGGAGGCAGAGAGUCUUGGGUUACAAUCUCUGCUCUGUUCCACUAUCAUUCAUUUAUUUGGCAGAUAUUCAGUGCAUGCCUCCCACGUGGUCCUGCCUUGACAGACACUGCAGAAGCAGGGAGCAGGAAGUUGGAGCUGCUGGUUCAGUGAAUGAGCUUCUUGAACAAUAAACAGUAUUCCCUGAUGAUAAUAAACAUAGUAUAUAAUUAAAUGGCAGCUAAAAAUGCUACAAAGAAAGUAAAGGGUGAUGUGAUGUGCUUUAGAUAUAGGGAAUCUGGAAAAACCCUCUUCCAGAGGUAACAAUUGAGUGGAGAUAUAAAUGAAAUAAGAGAUUGCGUCCUGCAAAUAUCAGAGGAGAAAUGGACCAGAGAGUGUUCCUCAAAGCUCAAGCACAUUAGAAUUGCCGGGGGAGCUCUAAGGACAUCUCUCAGCCCUACUAGAGCCCCAUAUUGAAUGGAGUUGAAGUGGAGCUUGGAUGGUCCUUUUGAAAAGUUCCCGUUUCACAUAGAGGCUGAUUAUUCUGUCCUGUCUACUUUGGUGUGUUUGAAAUGUUUCAAAAUAAAAUAUGUUUUUGUUGCUUCUUUUUGUUUUUUAAUGUGAAAGCUUCCCAAGAGAUUUUAAUGAGCGUGCUGUGUUAUAAACCAUUGCAGUAGAGGGAACACUUAGUGCUAAGUUCCAGAGCCAGGCUGACCGUCCCUCAUUUUCCAGGAAGAGCCAGAAGAGCCAGAAGGACGCAGGAGGACCACAGUGAGCCUGGUGUUGGAGAGUGGCCAGGAGUCAGGCCCCACUCACUACAUAGGGGAUGUUGGCUGGCUGCUAUUUCAUUUUAAAAUCUCAGCUUCCUCAUUUGCAAAGCAAGUAUAAUUCUUGCUUUUUAGGAUCAUUGGCUUCUUACAAACAUUGAAUGAAAUGAUACAUGGCGGAGUGAUUCUUGACCUUGGGCACACACUAGGCUCAUCUGCAAAGCCUGUUAAAAUUCACAGUUAAUAUCCUAGUCCAUUUCAGAUUCAGUGCAUCGGGGUGGGACUUGAGAGUUGGCUUUACAUUUCUUUACUUCUCCUCCUUCUUCUUUUUAAAAUUUUAUUUUUAACAAAUGGCCAGGUGAUACGGAUGCCCCAUGGAUUAUACUCUGAGAACCAUUGGUGUUUGGGGAGCUUCUCACAUGGUGCCCAAGAUGCACCAUCCCACGUGGUGACGCUGAGGCAGGAGAGGGAAGAGUGAAAAGGAAGAAUAUCUUACGGUGAAAGUAAUGUCCACUCUAAGACUAACUCUUCCUGGUUUUUGAAUUGGUGGCCACUUGGGAGUGGAUGUGGUCCCCUGGAGAGAAGGGUCAUCGUGGUCACUUGCAAAAGCUUUCCCAGAGAUCUGCAGUCAGGUGUCCCUGGAGCUUUAGGCUGGAUCCUAUGCCAGUAGACACUGUGAUCUGCCAGUAGAUGGUGUGAAACUGGCAUGCAGAGGCUCAUGUCAUUGAUUUAGACCAAGAAAAUAUUGGUCUGGAAAGAUCUGACCGAGGGCUUGACUUCUUACGAUUUGAAACCAAGUGCCCGGCACUGCGAGAAGCGGCCACCUUUGUCCUUCGAAAGGUCUUCUCAUCAGUGAGUUUUGUGAAGAGCAGACAGUGCCUUCCCAGGGACUGUUCUACCCUGUGCUGUUGGCCUACUGAACUACUGAGAGCCUGGCGUGACCGGGAAAACUAGGUCCAGCCAUGCUGCGUCGAGAGAUACCGUGGCCUUUUGGAAGGAAGCAGAGAUUAAACUGCUAUGGAAACAAAUAUACCUCAAUGGGUGAGAAGCUCCCACUCUGAUUUCCCAGAUGGGAUCAUAAUCCGACUGGCAUCAUGGACCUCUUCACUUCUGGAUGACAGGACUGUUCUCCCUUUUCCCAUUUUCUAGGUACCAGCAUGAUUGAUGGAACAGUUGAUGCAUUCAGGACACUUACGGAGCCGUUAUUUACUAGUGGGUAGGACCAGCAUGGCUUAAAGCUGAGCACCAUAUGUAGCCUCCUUCUACUUUCUGCCACUGGUGGAGGUCAACUCUGUCUCUCUCUCUCUCUGUGUCUCUCUCCUGUUCCAUCGCCCCCAGUGUAACUGGACAGAUAAUGUUGGAACCUCAGCUGUCACUUCUCUCAGGAUGAGCUUGUGGUGUGAGGCAGCAUGAAGAUGCUGACCGAUUGCAAGGUGCUGGUCCAAGAUUUGAAGGCAUGCCUUAGUGGGGAGGGGUGAGUAGGAUCCCCCAUGCCUGUCUGUGGAUGUAAGUCAGACUUUGUAUUCCACAGCUGGUUUUGGGCUGUUUGAAUAUACCCUAGUAAGAAGAAACCUACAAAAUACUGCCUCAUGACCCAUUCAAGCACUUUUUCAGAACUUAUUGCAUGCCUGCAUUUUGGUGAUGCCUGAUGAAUAAGACAAAAGUUCAUACCUUCCAGAAGCCUUAAGACAAUAAAACAGGUACUUUUUAUGCAGUGUACAUCUGAGUUCCUGACCGGUACCAUAUUUUUUUUCUCCCUGAAAAGCUUCUUUUAACAUUUCUUCCAGAGCCAAGUCUGCUGCUGAUGAAUUCCCUGUUUUUGUUUGUCUGAAAAAGUUUUUAUUUCUUCACUUUUGAAGGACAGUUAGUUACAUUGGAUAUAGAAUUCUAGGUCAGUGAUUUAUUUUAUUCAAAAUAGUAUAUAUUUCACCCUACCUGCUUUUUUUUUGCAGAGUGGUUUCUGAUGAGAUGUCUACUAUAAUUAUCAUCUGUAUUCCUCUAUAAGUCAAGUGAUCACCCAUUCCUUCCUGCCAGCUUCUUUUAAGAUUUUCUUUUUCUCUUUGGUUUUCUGAAUUUGAAUAAGUUUUAUUUAAGAUUGUUGUUGUUUAUCCUGUAUGGUGUGCUCAAGAUCAGCAGAUUUACUAUGAAGAGUGGUCUGAGCUUAAAUGGUAAACCCACAUGUGAUUCAAAAUAAAAUAUAACAUAUUUGGGGUUUAUAAUACAAAGAUUCCUCUCUUGCAUGUGGAAUUGCAGUACAACUCUAGUAAUCCAGAGCUUUUCUGGACUGUAUGUUUUUAGAAGUGGUAGUGGCAAUGGUCUAAAGCAGGGAUUGCGAAUUUUUUUUUCUGUAAAGAGCCAAAUAGAAAAUACUUUAGGCUUUAUAGACUAAGAGGCUAUAUAUUGACUUAUGUAACCACUUAGAAAUCUAAAAACUAUUGUUAGCUUGUGGACUGUGAAAAAUACCCGGCAUGGCAGAUUCAGUAACUCCUGGUCUAAAAUACAGUUUUGGUGGUUAAUUGCUCUGAGGUUUUGGGAUUUAUGAACCUAUAGCCCUAGCUGAGUCUCAGCUUCCUCAUCUGUAAGCUGGAGAUAAUUCCUUUUCUGCCAGAUUUGUGCAGGGAUCCAAUGAGAGGAUACAUUUUGAAGCCCCUAGUAAAUUAAAUGGUGUUUGCUGAGUAGGGUGAUCUAUGUUCUACUCUACCCAUCAGGACCUGCAUUAUGCUUGUCCUGGUAAGACAUAUUACAUAAAGCUCUUUCACUCAGAACCAUCUGCUAGAAUGGUCAAUUACACGGUCGCCUUGGCCAUAGCUGUGUAUACUCUCCAGCUUGUGAUUCCUCUAAUUCUGUGUUGGGAGAGGUCAGUGGCACUUUGAGGCGGGAUCGUAGGCUGUGAACUCUGCUGUCACAUCGCUGGCUUCAAGUCCAGGUUCUUUUGCAACUAAUGAACUUCAGGUCAAGCUUGUUAGUUGUGUGACGUUGGAUGAGUUUCAUAAUCUUCUAGUGUUAACAGCUGUAUUUAUUGAGGUAUCAUUUAAGUACCUCAAAAUUUACUCAUUUUAAGUGUAUAGUUCACUAAUUUUUAGUAAGUUUAUGGAGUCAUGCAUCCCUCCCUGAGUCUAAUUUUCAAGUGUUUGUGUUAUCCCCAAAGAAACCUGUUCCCCCUGUGCAGUCAUCUCCUGUUCCCGUUCCCAGUCUUACACAACCACCAAGGUACCUGCUGUCUCUGCAGAUUUGCGUUUUUCUGGGUCGUCUGGGGCAGGAACACUGGGUUAGGGACUGGAAGGAACGUUUCCCAUCCAGGUUUUGCCAGCAGGAGUCAUCAGCUGACUUUUGAUGCAUCGCUGUCAUUUUUUACAUAAGGAUCUAAGACCCCUCCCAGCUCUGAGAGCCUGUGCCGUCUUUACUGAAAUUGUCAGCUUGUCAUUUGGAGCAGUGGCUUGGAGCAAGUGUGCAGAGAGUAGAGCCGUAUUAGAAGCCGUCGUGGGGAGAAGAGGGCACAGUGUCCUCCUCUCUCUGGCCGUCCCAAGAGCCAACUGUAGAACUCGAGCAAGAUGUCACCUCUCUGAGCUUCGUGUCAUAGGAUGUGACACCAGUGUCCCUAUUGAUACCACAGGGCUCUGUGAGAUCACACAAGAUAGUGAACAUAAAACUGGAAACCGCACUGUGUUUAGAGAAAUAAAUGUUAGCAUUAUUGAAAGAGUUUAUAGCAGGUCAGAGUGACUGGACGGCUUCCGGUGCAGAAUGCAUGGCAGGUGUAGUGAAGCUGACAGAUCACCAAGGCAAAUCCAUUCCAUGCUGAAAAGCCAAGUGUAAACCUGCCUGACUGUUUUCUCAGGCCCAAGGAUAUAGUGGGCCCAUGGUGGUGUUUUUUUUUUUUUCCGUGGUACAUAGUAGAAGGAGGUGGAACUUUCUGUAACAGAGUGUGUGAAGUUUCAGAUUUCUAUGCAAAAUUAAAUAUGCUUCUGGUUAAUGUCUAUUAAUUGUGUCCAUUAUCUCUUACUUCUCAUCCUUAACUAUUUGUUUUAGUAAUGCUUAUGCAUUUUUGUACCAUUUUAAUGAAUUUACGUAGUCAUAUUUGCUUGGAAAUGUUCAGAAGUCUGAUCAGUACUAUUUUGUCAGUCUACUUUAAUGUCAAGUAAAAAACAAACCUGGA